Molecule: long non-coding RNA, 349 nt
Organism: Salvelinus fontinalis (brook trout)
Lineage: Eukaryota; Metazoa; Chordata; Actinopteri; Salmoniformes; Salmonidae
Exons: 4
Source: RefSeq, a predicted model, not a curated record
CCUGAUACCAUGUUGGUAAUGAGGUCCUUUAUCUACUGACCCAGAGUCAGAUGAACUCCUGAUACCAUGUUGGUAAUGAGGUCCUUUAUCUACUGACCCAGAGUCAGAUGAACUCCUGAUACCAUGUUGGUAAUGAGGCCCUUUAUCUACUGACCCAGAGUCAGAUGAACUCCUGAUACCAUGUUGGUAAUGAGGUCCUUUAUCUACUGACCCAGAGUCAGAUGAACUCCUGAUACCAUGUUGGUAAUGAGGUCCUUUAUCUACUGACCCAGAGUCAGAUGAACUCCUGAUACCAUGUUGGUAAUGAGGUCCUUUAUCUACUGACCCAGAUGAACUCCUGAUACCAUGU